Molecule: small nuclear RNA, 107 nt
Organism: Macaca mulatta (Rhesus monkey)
Lineage: Eukaryota; Metazoa; Chordata; Mammalia; Primates; Cercopithecidae
Source: Ensembl
AUGCUCGCUUCAGCAGCACAUAUACUAAAACUGGAAUGAUACAGAGAAGAUUAGCAUGGCCCCUGCACAAGGAUGACACGCAAAUUUGUGAAGCAUUCCGUAUUUUU